Molecule: long non-coding RNA, 729 nt
Organism: Andrographis paniculata
Lineage: Eukaryota; Viridiplantae; Streptophyta; Magnoliopsida; Lamiales; Acanthaceae
Exons: 5
Source: RefSeq, a predicted model, not a curated record
CUCAUUUUCCUUUUCCCCCAAAUCGCCUCCCGAUCCACACACAUAUGAAGAUCUUCUCUACACUUCACUCUGAUCUACCGUCGCUGGUUUGACGCUCGUGUUCUCUGAGUUAUGGCCAGCGUAAAUCUUCCUCGCCGCAUUAUAGUUCUCACGAAAUCGAACGGAUUAAGUUAUUGAACAACGAGGUGCUGCAGAGGUGGACUUAUAACUGUUUGAAGAUCGUAUAUUAGAUAUUUUCUCUUUCUGUGGUUUGCUCUGCCCGGCUGGCCCUUUCUUGAUUGGGGUUGUAGCAAAUAAUAUUGUUAUUAAGGUGAUACCCUAGCCAUUGUUAAGGUGUAUGCUAUAGCUGUAAUGGUCCCGGAGACCGCACUUAUCCUCCCAACUAAUGCUGGAGCGAAAAUUCUCGGUGAUGUACUCGACGGAGAUAAUAUCGAGUGGAUUUACCAGGAUUUGGUUCGCCGCCCGUGAUUGCAGCCUCCAUGAGUCUGCACUCGACUAGCUGGGUCAUUCAUAGUAGUGUUUAUGAGUUGCCCUUAAGAUCGUACUUCUGUAUGAUAUCAGAUUUAUCUAUUUAUGUUUACUUUUUGGUUUUUCGUAUCGUUAUUUAGUAGGUUGUUAUGUUGGUGUACGAAUUGGUGUUUUGUUGGGAUGUUUUGUUAGCACCGUUGACGACUAAUAUUUUAUUUUUGGCUGGACUAUGAACAUCAUUGUAUUGAUGACCAUGUGUAG